ACCUGCACGUGUCACCCACGUUCCGGAUCCCCCAUUGGCAGCAGAUCCCCGAAGGCAAAGAAAUAGUAGCAGACAAGAAGAAGAAGAAGAAGAAGAAGAAGAAGAAGAGAAGGCGAUGGGCUUCUGCAUGAGGUUUCUGGAGAUACUGUGCGCCAUCGUUCUCCCGCCUCUCGGCGUCUUCUUCCGGUAUGGCUGCUGCAAGCUGGAGUUUUGGCUCUCAGUGGUGCUGACCAUCCUGGGUUACAUCCCCGGCAUAAUCUACGCCAUCUACGUGAUCGUGACCGAUCCCGAGCGCCAUUACGAUGACGACUAUCACGCCGUCUAGGAGGAGAUCGACGAAGGAGACGACGUUUCGCCUUCGGAUCGUCUUCUUUGUUCGAGUUUUCUGGUUUGCUGUGAGUUGCAGUUGCUGUCAGAAGUAAUAAAGAAUCGUGUGAGAUGGUCUUAAUUUGUGGUAUCUUUCGUGCAUGCUUGGUUAUGUCUUCUGUGAGUGAGAGAGUGCAUAAAUUGGAGAUCCAAGAACUGGCUUCUUCAUGUCUUCUGUAUCUGAACCAUGAAUCUAUAUUAUUAGUAACCUACUUGUAUGAUGAA
Musa acuminata AAA Group (dessert banana) is the source of this 591-nucleotide long non-coding RNA. RefSeq lists it as uncharacterized. Lineage: Eukaryota; Viridiplantae; Streptophyta; Magnoliopsida; Zingiberales; Musaceae. The record is from RefSeq and is a predicted model, not a curated record. The transcript is spliced from 2 exons.